This 27-nucleotide unclassified non-coding RNA is filed under the name Mus musculus (house mouse). Its description in RNAcentral is "oocyte_clustered_small_RNA13563". The record is from RNAcentral. Lineage: Eukaryota; Metazoa; Chordata; Mammalia; Rodentia; Muridae.
ACCCUGGGAUGUAGGAUUACCUAGCUA